Molecule: non-coding RNA, 277 nt
Organism: Danio rerio (zebrafish)
Lineage: Eukaryota; Metazoa; Chordata; Actinopteri; Cypriniformes; Danionidae
Source: RefSeq, a predicted model, not a curated record
UCAUGGUAGGAAAACACUAUGGAAUUAAAUAGUUACAGUUUUCCAGCUUUAUUUAAUACAUCUUCUUUAUUGUUUAGCAGAAAAAAAGCUAAAUAAGUUUGGAACAAAUAAAGAAUGAGGCUAAAAUGGCAGAAUUGUCAGUUUUGGGCUAUUUUUACAUGGAGAAUGUUUUCAGCUGUUGAAUUCACCUCAGAUCAGUGUUGCUGUAAUUCCUGAUGGAAAGAAGAAUUGGAUGAGCGAGCAACGCCACAACUACAGGACCUCUUCUUUCUCUUCU